RNAcentral lists this ribosomal RNA (514 nucleotides) under uncultured bacterium. RNAcentral describes it as "bacterial SSU rRNA". It matches the Rfam family "Bacterial small subunit ribosomal RNA", at positions 996 to 1509 of the family's 1533-position model. The record is from RNAcentral.
UUUAGCAGAGAUGCUUUAGUGCCUUCGGGAGCCGUGAGACAGGUGCUGCAUGGCUGUCGUCAGCUCGUGUUGUGAAAUGUUGGGUUAAGUCCCGCAACGAGCGCAACCCUUAUCCUUUGUUGUCAGCGGGUUAUGCCGGGAACUCAAAGGAGACUGCCAGUGAUAAACUGGAGGAAGGUGGGGAUGACGUCAAGUCAUCAUGGCCCUUACGAGUAGGGCUACACACGUGCUACAAUGGCGCAUACAAAGAGAAGCGACCUCGCGAGAGCAAGCGGACCUCAUAAAGUGCGUCGUAGUCCGGAUUGGAGUCUGCAACUCGACUCCAUGAAGUCGGAAUCGCUAGUAAUCGUAGAUCAGAAUGCUACGGUGAAUACGUUCCCGGGCCUUGUACACACCGCCCGUCACACCAUGGGAGUGGGUUGCAAAAGAAGUAGGUAGCUUAACCUUCGGGAGGGCGCUUACCACUUUGUGAUUCAUGACUGGGGUGAAGUCGUAACAAGGUAGGCGUAGUGCU